RNAcentral lists this unclassified non-coding RNA (349 nucleotides) under soil metagenome. Its description in RNAcentral is "partial contains 5.8S ribosomal RNA, internal transcribed spacer 2, and large subunit ribosomal RNA". The stretch from base 1 to 120 matches the Rfam family "5.8S ribosomal RNA", at positions 35 to 154 of the family's 154-position model. The record is from RNAcentral.
GAUGAAGAACGUAGCGAAAUGCGAUAACUAAUGUGAAUUGCAGAAUUUCGUGAAUCAUCGAGUCUUUGAACGCACAUUGCGCCCCCUGGUAUUCCGGGGGGCAUGCCUGUCCGAGCGUCAUUGCUGCCCAUCAAGCACGGCUUGUGUGUUGGGUCCUCGUCCCCCCCGGGGGACGUGCCCGAAAGGCAGCGGCGGCACCGCGUCCGGUCCUCGAGCGUAUGGGGCUUUGUCACCCGCUCUGCAGGCCCGGCCGGCGCUGGCCGACGCGAAAGCAACCAUUUUUUCUCCAGGUUGACCUCGGAUCAGGUAGGGAUACCCGCUGAACUUAAGCAUAUCAAUAAGCGGAGGA